Molecule: ribosomal RNA, 1147 nt
Filed under: Rostellascaris sp. 'oceanica'
Lineage: Eukaryota; Metazoa; Nematoda; Chromadorea; Rhabditida; Ascarididae
Description: SSU rRNA
Rfam family: Eukaryotic small subunit ribosomal RNA
Source: RNAcentral
GAAUCCUAGACAGCUAUUAUAUACUUGAUCUUGAUAUCCUACGUGGAUAACUGUGGUAAUUCUAGAGCUAAUACAUGCACCAAAGCUCCAAAUUUUUGACGAGCGCAUCUAUAAGAUUAAAACCAAUCGGGUUUCGGCCCGUUUGUUGGUGACUCUGAAUAACUAUGGCUAAUCGCAAUGGCUUGAACCGGAAUAUUCACAUGUGACGAUUUGCAACAGGUAAAGGGGAUUUUCACAAGCAGUGGUUCAGGAAGGUAGUCGCAGUGGCUUGAACCGGAUUCGACUCCGGAGAGGGAGCCUGAGAAACGGCUACCACAUCCAAGGAAGGCAGCAGGCGCGCAAAUUACCCACUCUCGGCAUGAGGAGGUAGUGACGAAAAAUAACGAGACCGUUCUCUAUGAGGCCGGUUAUCGGAAUGGGUACAAUUUAAACCCGUUAACGAGGAUCUAUGAGAGGGCAAGUCUGGUGCCAGCAGCCGCGGUAAUUCCAGCUCUCAAAGUGUAUAUCGUCAUUGCUGCGGUUAAAAAGCUCGUAGUUGGAUCUGCGCCUCAGGACCUGGUCCGCCCACUGGGUGAGAACUGGGCUCCUGGGCUAGUUCUGCUGGUUUUCCCUACGUUGCCUUCAUCGGUAGCGUAGGGUGGCUAGCGAGUUUACUUUGAAAAAAUUAGAGUGCUUCACGCGCGCUUAUGUCUGACUACUCGUGCAUGGAAUAAUAGAAUAGGAUCUCGGCUCUAUAUUGUUGGUUUUUCUGAUCUGAGAUAUGGAUUAAGAGGGACGGGACGGGGGGCAUUCGUAUCGCUGCGUGAGAGUGAAAUUCUGACGUAGCGAGACGUCGACUGCGAACGCAUUUGCUAGUAUGUCUUCUUAUCAGACGAAAGUCAGAGGUCGAGGCGAUCAGAUCCGCUUAGUCUGACGUAAACGAUACAACUAGCGUCCGUCGGCGUAAUAUCUCUGGACGGCAGCUUCCGGAACGUAAGCCUCCGUCCGGGGAGAUUGGUGCAAGCUGAAACUACAUGACUGAUGGAUCACGGAGUGGAGCCUGCCGCUAAUGACCACUGUAAUUACUGGCCGGAACCUGGGAUUGAAUGAGCUUUCGAUCGCUGGUGCUGCGUCAGUGGGACUCGCUUCGUAAGGACUUGCAUUAAAG